CCCAGACGACACACACACACCCUACGGGACAAAACCCGAGGUCGGCCAAUCCUGGGUGGCCUGACCCCAAAGCAGGGAAGGGCAGACCCUCGGGGAGAGAAAAGGUCAUCAAGGAGGUUCUCCUGCACCCCCCGAGUGCGCCUGGCAUCCUGCCCGCCCCGCCCCGCCCCGCGCCGCGCCGCGCCCAGUGGGGAGCCCACAGCGAGGAACUCCUGGCGAGAAUCCCGCACCCGAGAACACGUCAAGGAUACCCACGGCGAGGAUCUUCCCUUCCAGGGUCUCCGGGCUGACCUGCCGCCCGGAGCACUCCAGCAGCUUCCAGAGCCCGUGGACCCCCAUGAGGCUGCGGCGACGGGCGGCGCGGCAGGGGCGCAGUCGCCCUUCAAUUCCAAGCCUCGCACCGGGGGAAGACGGACGGUAACGCGGCCGCAGCGGUACUUCCGGGUGGCGACACUGCCUCACGGGAGAAAGGCGGGGCCAGAGAAGGGCCGGCGUCGGCAAGAGCAAGUCCUCCUCUCGCCCAAGGUUUGCCCCAAACCUACGCACUCUAAACGGAGGAGCGGCGGGGGCGCCGUCGGCGAGACGAACCGCCAGGAGGGGUUCCCCCACACAGCCUGUCUUCUGGAGUCAGUGCGUAAACUGACGCAAAACGGGAGCGCCCGCUUCCGUCUAAUGCAGGGCUCCAGACGGAAGUCCCGCCUCCUGGCUCACGUAUAUUGGCUGCGCCUCUCCAACCCCGGAAGCGGGGCGGGUUCCGUCGCUGUGUUUGUGUCCUGCUGUUCCCGAACCGCCUCCACGCGGGCAUGGUCGCCGCUAACCGUUACCGCGAUGCGGAGCAUCUCCUCGCUGACGUGACAGCUCUCCACGUGGCUUUUGCGGAUCACUUUCUCCCCGCCCGCCGCCAGGUCAGAAGUGACGAGCAGAAGAAGGGACUCGAUCGCGAGAGGAGUUGCUGGAAAGGCGGUUGCAGGCCCAGAGUCCGAUCCCGACCACGCCGCGUCCUAGUGUUCGGCCUUGUUGAGGGCUUGGCGUUUCCUCUGCAGAUGGGGCGGAAGAUCCAUCUUACGGACUGUGUUAGGUAGGAAUACAGAUUUUAUUUUUAACCUCUACAACCAAACAUGGAGCUCGAACCCACAACCCUGAGAUAAAGAGUCACAGCAUCUACUGACCGAACCUCCCAAGUGUCUUCUAAUGAAGGUGCUAACAGUGGCCAAAAUGAAAAGGAGAAACAAGAACUAUCAUUAAACACGGUUUUAAUCUUAACUUAAAAUUACAAAAAGAAAAAUUAGAUAUAUGUAUGUUUGUAUAUGUACAUAUAAUAUGCAUAACAGCACAUAUGCAAAUCAACAAUCCUUGUCUCUACAGCUGAACUGGGACCUUUAAGACUAAGAUACAAAAGACGAUUACAGUCACUUACCUAUAUGGUUAUUAUGGGGCCAUAUAAUACACGAAUUGUUAUGGACUGAACUGUACCUCCCUAAAAAGAUAUGUUCUAACCACAGGUACCUAUGACCAUAUUUGGAAACAGGGUCUUUGCAGAUGGAAUCCAAUUAUGAUGAGGUCACAUGGGAGAGGUGGAUACUUAAUCCAAGAUGACCAAUGUCCUUAUAAAAAGGGAAGAAGGACACACAGAGAGAAUGCCUGCCAGGUGAAGACUCAGACACAAGGCCAAGGGAACACAUGGCCAUGGCCAAGGAGGCAGAAUUGUUACAGCAGCAAGCCUAGGAAUGCCAAGGACUGCCAACAAAGCACCAAGAGCUGGGAUGAAGCAAAAAAUUCUACCCCAUGGAUUUCAGAGGGAAUGUGGCCUUGCCAACAGCUUGAUUUCAGACUUCCAACCUCCAGGACUAUGAGACAUUUUUUGUUGCUUUAAUCCCUCCAUAUAUGGUACUUUGUUAUGGUAACUCUAGGAAACUCACACACUAAUCAUUCUCCAGGAAAGACUAAAAAUUGGUUUACAUCCACAAAAGAAAAAAAACAAUGAACACAUUUUACAUGAUUUUGUUUAUAUCUAUCUGCAAGGCUAUUUUAAAAAGAACUCCUACCCACAGAAAUGAUCCUAGCUUGAGAAAUUGUUGGCAUUAUAGAGCUCUCACUUCAAACUCAGAAGCUAACUUCCUCAAGUGGUCAAGUAUUCAUAGCUCCUACCAACAUUCUGUCCUGCAACUAAAUUUCCUACAAAUGGACUAAGCAGUCAACAUGACUUGUUUCCUACUGCUUUCCAUUCCUUUCUUUCCCCCCCUAAUAUCUUGGGUGGUUUACAUUCUUUGCUAAAUGGCUAAGCACUCAUGGGUGUUAUAGUCACUGAAUUCUUUCAUCAUUGGGAGUCUGUUGCUUCCACACUCGAAUGACAAUGUGAAUGUGACAUUUGGUGACUUGUUCUCACCUGAGAAACGUGACUCCACUGUAGCCUAGCAGCUAGUGCUGCCAUGGUGAAGACUGAGACCAAAGGGAUAAUUUCCCUUUGUACAACUGUUUUUGCAUCUGGGUGCCCAGGACCCCCUUAUGCUUGAACUUCAGUAAUUCAGUAACUCCACUAGAACAUGCCUUGGUGCUGAUCAAUCUGUAUUGUGUUUCCUUUCCUGGGACACAAUUUACCCUUUCAAAUCUGCAGACUCUAGCCUUUCUUUAUUUUGGGAACAUUCCUUCCAGGGGUGUCUUCAAAUUCUUUUUUUUUUUUUCUAUUUGUUCUGAUCUCUUUCUCUGGAAUACCAGUUAGUGCUAUUUGGAGCCUCUGUCUCUUAUCCAUAUUUAUCUGUUCUUUUUUUUUUAAGAUUUUAUUUUUAAGUAAUCUUUACACCUAAUGUAGGGCUUAAACUUACAACACCAAGAUCAAGAGUCACACACUCCACCAAAUGAGCUAGCCAGGCACCCCAACAUUUAUCUAUUCUUUAAUCAUUUUUAUGCCUGUUCUUUUCCAUGUAAGUUCUGUAUGAUUUCCUCACACUGGCUCACCACUGACUUGAUUAUGCUUUUCACUGGGUUGGGUUUUUUUUCUCCUUGCUUCUAAUGUGGUUUUCACCUCUGCAAUGACUUUUUGUUGUUGUUCUCCACUUCUUUCCAAGGGCCUGUCAAAUAUUUCCUUCUGUUUUCAUAUAAUCUCUUCUUUGACUUCAUUUUGAAAAAUUUCAUAAAUUAUAACUUUUUUAAUAUAAAGGACUUAUUCUGAAUUUUAACUUUACUUCCUCAACUAACUCUCCCAAAAAUGUAUAUGUCUUCUACAGUUGUCCCUGUUUUUUUUUUUUUUUGCCACUUUUAUACACAUAUAUCAAGUUGCUUCCUCUAUGACUUUUACUCAUCCUUGAAUAGAGCUGUUUGCUAUCUUUGACACUCCAUCAUCAAAUCUGCCUUCAAUUUUGGGUGAGAUUUUUAUAAUUCUGGUAAAAAAAAAGUUUACCAUCUUAACCAUUUUUAAGGGUACAGUUGAGUAAUGUUAGCUAUAUUCACAUUGUGGUGAAAGAGAUCUCUUGAAAUUUUUCAUUUUUCAAGACUGAAACUUUACGCCCACUGGACAACCCAGCCUCUGACAACUACCAUUCUACUUUCCAUUUUUAUGAGUUUCACUACUUUAUACUUCAUAUAAAUGGAAUCAUACAAUACUUAACUUUUUGUCACUGGCAACCACCAUUGUACAUUCUGUCUCUAUGAUUCUGACAACUAUUAAUCACCUCUUAUAAGUGGAACCACAUAUUAUUGGUCUCUUUGUGUCUGGCUUAUUUCAUCUAGCAUAGUGUCCUCAUGUGUCAGAAUUCCUUCUGUAUUAAGGCUGAAAACAUUCCUUUGUAUGUAUAUAGCACAUUUUCUUUAUUCCUUUAUCUAUGAUGGACACUUGGGUUGCUUCCCCCUCUCAGCUAUUGUAAAUAAUGCUUCAAUGAACAUAGUAUGCAAAUAUCUCUUCAAAAUUCUUCUUUCAAUUCUUUUGGAUCCGGAUAACCAGAGUGGAAUUCCUGGAUCAUAUGGUGUCUUAGUCAGUUCAGGCUGCAUAGCAAAUUACAACAGACUUGGUAGCUUCAACAACAAACAUUUAUUUCUCAUAGUUCUAGAGGCUGAAAAGUCCAAGGUCAAGGUGCCAGCAAAUCUAAUAUCUUGUGAGAAACUGCCUCCUGUUUAGCAUAUGACCAUCCUCUCAUUGUGUCCUCACAUCAUGGAACAGAGAGAGGAGGAAGCAAGCUCCCUCUUCCUGUCUCUUCUUAUAAGGCACUAAUCUCAUUUACUGGGGCUCCACCCUCAUGACCCAAUCACCUCUGAAGGCCCCUCUUCUUAUACCAUCACCUUGGGGGUUAGGAUUUCAAUAUAUGAAUUGAGGGGAGACAAACAUUCAGCCUAUAACAUAGAAUCCAUUUUUAAUUUUUUGAGAAACUUCCAUACUAUUUUCUUCUAGGAGUUUUAUAGUAUUAGGUCUUUGCAUUUAUGUCUUUAAUCUAUUUUGAGUUCAUUUUUGUGUAUGAUGAAAAGAAAGGGUUAAGUUCAUUCUUUUUGCAGAUGGUAUCCACUUUUCCCAACACCAUUUGCUGAAGACAGUCCUUCCUCUAUUCUGUGGUCUUGCCACCCUUACUGAAGAUCAUUUGCCCAUUUAUAUGAGUGUCUAUUUCUGGGCUUUCUAUUCUGCCCUAUUUGUCUACAUAUUUGUCUUUAUGCCAGUAUCAACUGUUUUGCUUAUGUAGCUCUGUAAUGUUUUGAAAUCAGGAAGUGUGUGGCCUAUGUUCCACUCUUGCCAUCACUGCUUUCCCAGCAAUUCACUAGAGGCACUGUCCUGGGCUGGAAAUUACAGGAUAAGAUAAUGGAGUGGCAAUCAGAUCAGCAGGAUAUCUCCUUUUGCAACCUCUACCUGCAUUCCUGUAGUGCUGAACUGGAUCUCCAACAUGAACUCUGAUGUUUUUCCACUCAUACAGCUUCUCACACCCCUAAAUCUAACCAAAGGGUCACCAGAUGGUUUCAGGACUGCCAUACGAACAUCAGGAAAACCUGCACUGUUCCAGGCCAACAGUAGUCUGUGCAGCCCUUGGUGUCCUCUCUCUGUUGGUCCAGAGUGCACAGGAUUUGAUAACCUUGGAUUAAAGCUAUGUUUCUAUUCAAUAGCCUAUCUUGCUAUUUCUUUGUUUAAGGGAAGAUAGAGUUUUUCCUUAUUUUUUAAUUUUCUUGUUAUUAUUUCCAUGGGCUUGAGGUAUAGGGCCAAGGGCAGGCUGCCCCAAGAUGGACCACUUUCUCAUGAACAUUAUUUUGAGUUAAAAGCAAUGCAAACCCAGCAGAUUUAGAAAAAACUCUUCACUUCCCCUUCUACUGCCUGCUUUACCAGAAAGAGAGCUAUUGACAGAGACUCCUCUUUACUAAGAAAUUUAUCUGCCUAACAGGGCAAACUCUGAUUUUCAAAACAUUUCCUUUCACCUUCUGGCUAAUGGCCUUCCUCUCCUUUAAAUCUGACUCCUAUCCUCUCCUCAGCUCACAUAAGCUUCAUGUUACCUCAUUGUCAUUGGAAUUUCCAUGUCUGUGUGGAUUUCCUCUAUAUACAUUAUUAAAUUUGAUUUUCUCCUGUUAAUCAGUCUCAUAUCAAUUUGAUCCUAAGUCCAGCUAGAAGAACCUUGAAGGACAAAGGAAUGUCUACCUACCAACAGAGAGCAGGACUGCAGUAAAAAGACCUUUUUCUGGUCAUGUUUAACUCUCUCAACCUUCUAUCUUAAACACUUCUUCACAAAGCCUUAGGAUCAAUCCUAGGUACCCUUAAGAUUUUCCCUAUUUUUUCAUCAGUUCAAACUUGUUUUACUGGUCUUACUCAUGACAGGCCUACAAGUUUAACCAACUUUCUACUAUUUUUUAUGGGUGUUUCCACCCCAACCCUAAUCUUGUAAUAUAUUCUCAGUGAGGGGAUCCCUGGGUGGCGCAGCGGUUUGGCGCCUGCCUUUGGCCCAGGGCGCGAUCUGGAGACCCGGGAUCGAAUCCCGCAUCGGGCUCCCGGUGCAUGCAGCCUGCUUCUCCCUCUGCCUGUGUCUCUGCCUCUCUCUCUCUCUCUCUCUCUCUCUCUGUGUGACUGUCAUAAAUAAAUAAAAAAUUAAAAAAAAAAAAAAAAGAAAAAUAUUCUCAGUGAGAAAUGAGCUUGUCAUCCUGGUAAUUUUCCCCCUAAGAUUAUUUCUCCUGUCUACCCUUCCUCAUCCAAGCCUUUAUCGCAUCACAUGUUAAACUACUAAAAUACAGUUAUCCAGAUUUGUUGUUAAAACAUAUCUUAAAAAAAAAAAACAUAUCUUAAAUCUAAGAGAUUCAAA
Canis lupus familiaris (dog) is the source of this 6257-nucleotide long non-coding RNA. RefSeq lists it as uncharacterized. The record is from RefSeq and is a predicted model, not a curated record. NCBI's taxonomy places the organism in Eukaryota, Metazoa, Chordata, Mammalia, Carnivora, Canidae. The transcript has 3 exons.